RNAcentral lists this ribosomal RNA (465 nucleotides) under uncultured bacterium. Its description in RNAcentral is "partial 16S ribosomal RNA". It matches the Rfam family "Bacterial small subunit ribosomal RNA", at positions 338 to 795 of the family's 1533-position model. The record is from RNAcentral.
CCUACGGGUGGCAGCAGUAGGGAAUCUUCCACAAUGGGCGAAAGCCUGAUGGAGCAACGCCGCGUGGGUGAAGAAGGUCUUCGGAUCGUAAAACCCUGUUGUUAGAGAAGAAAGUGCGUGAGAGUAACUGUUCACGUCUCGACGGUAUCUAACCAGAAAGCCACGGCUAACUAUGUGUCAGCAGCCGCGGUAAUACGUAGGUGGCAAGCGUUAUCCGGAUUUAUUGGGCGUAAAGGGAACGCAGGCGGUCAUUUAAGUCUGAUGUGAAAGCCUUGGGCUUAACCUGAGUAGUGCAGUGGAAACUGGGAGACUUGAGUGCAGAAGAGGAGAGUGGAACUCCGUGUGUAGCGGUGAAAUGCGUAGAUAUAUGGAAGAACACCAGUGGCGAAGGCGGCUCUCUGGGCUGUAACUGACGCUGAGGUUCGAAAGCGUGGGGAGCAAACAGGAUUAGAUACCCCAGUAGUC